AGCAGCCGCGGUAAUUCCAGCUCCAAUAGCGUAUAUUAAAGUUGUUGCAGUUAAAAAGCUCGUAGUUGAAUUUCGGGAUCAAUAUUUCGGUCAUGCCGUUGGUAUGCACUGUUAUUAUUGAUUUCUCACCUUCUAAAGAACCGUAAUGCCAUUAAUUUGGUGUUACGGGGAAUUAGGACUGUUACCUUGAAAAAAUUAGAGUGUUUAAAGCAGGCUCACGCUUGAAUACAUUAGCAUGGAAUAAUGAAAUAGGACAUCCGAUUCUAUUUUGUUGGUUUCUAGGAUCGAUGUAAUGAUUAAUAGGGAUAGUUGGGGGCAUUAGUAUUCAAUUGUCAGAGGUGAAAUUCUUGGAUUUAUUGAAGACUAACUACUGCGAAAGCAUUUGCCAAGGAUGUUUUCAUUAAUCAAGAACGAAAGUUAGGGGAUCGAAGACGAUCAGAUACCGUCGUAGUCUUAACCAUAAACUAUGCCGACUAGGGAUCGGAUGAUGUUAAUUUUUUAAUGACUCA
RNAcentral lists this ribosomal RNA (509 nucleotides) under Glomus sp. Glo1B. RNAcentral describes it as "SSU rRNA". It matches the Rfam family "Eukaryotic small subunit ribosomal RNA", at positions 569 to 1078 of the family's 1831-position model. Lineage: Eukaryota; Fungi; Glomeromycota; Glomeromycetes; Glomerales; Glomeraceae. The record is from RNAcentral.